RNAcentral lists this transfer RNA (72 nucleotides) under Stegodyphus mimosarum. It matches the Rfam family "tRNA". Rfam says of the family: Transfer RNA (tRNA) molecules are approximately 80 nucleotides in length. Their secondary structure includes four short double-helical elements and three loops (D, anti-codon, and T loops). The record is from Rfam by way of RNAcentral. Lineage: Eukaryota; Metazoa; Arthropoda; Arachnida; Araneae; Eresidae.
GCUUUCGUGGUGUAACGGUUAGCACACUCGGCUCAAACUCUAGAGGUCCAGGUUCAAGUCCCGGCGAAGGCA